RNAcentral lists this transfer RNA (53 nucleotides) under Cricetulus griseus (Chinese hamster). It matches the Rfam family "tRNA", at positions 8 to 63 of the family's 71-position model. From Rfam's summary of the family: Transfer RNA (tRNA) molecules are approximately 80 nucleotides in length. The record is from Rfam by way of RNAcentral. Lineage: Eukaryota; Metazoa; Chordata; Mammalia; Rodentia; Cricetidae.
UAGCUCAAUGGUUAAGAGCACUGUUCUCCAGAGGACCUGGGUUCGAUUCCCAG